AAAAACAUUUUUUAUAAUAUUAUUAUAAGUAUAAUCUGCUCAAUGAAUUUUAAAUAGCCGCAGAUUUUCUGUGUUAAGGUAGCAUAAUCACUUACCUUUUAAUUAAAGGUUUGUAUGAAGGAUUAAACAAUUAAAUUUCUUUUUUAUAAAUUCUUAUUAAACCUAAAUUAAAAAUAAAAAUGUUUUUAUUUAAAAAAUAGACGAUAAGACCCUAUUGAACUUCACUUCAGUUUAGCUGGGGAAGCUAAUUAAAUAUAAUUUUAAUUAUAUAAAAUAAAUUUCUAAUAUAAUUAAAUUAAAUAAGUUACCAUAGGGAUAACAGCGUAAUAUAAUUUUAAAGCUCAUAUUAAAAAUUAAGCUUACGACCUCGAUGUUGAAUU
This 380-nucleotide ribosomal RNA is filed under the name Gnathonarium taczanowskii. RNAcentral's name for it is "partial 16S ribosomal RNA". The record is from RNAcentral. Lineage: Eukaryota; Metazoa; Arthropoda; Arachnida; Araneae; Linyphiidae.